This 1640-nucleotide long non-coding RNA is filed under the name Homo sapiens (human). RNAcentral's name for it is "HSALNT0344637". The record is from RNAcentral. Lineage: Eukaryota; Metazoa; Chordata; Mammalia; Primates; Hominidae.
ACCCGCCUGGCUGCGCGUCCCGGGCCCGGCGGCUGAAGAGGAGCCGCGGCGAGGUAGGGCGGACCCCGGGGAGGCAGCGGCGGGGCCUGGCGGGCGGAGCGGGAAGCAGCCCGAGGCGCGGGUCGGAGGGGGCGGCGGGUGGGAGGUGGUCGGCGAGAGCGGCAGUAGGCGGGAGGGGAGAAAAGGGGAGGCCGGCAGGGGAGAGGCGGGGAGGGGAGGCCGGCAGGGGAGGGAGGGGAGCGGAGCGGAGGGGAGGGGAGGGGGGACCGGGAGAGGAGGGGGCAGCGCUGCCCGCGGCGGGGUGGGCGGCGGUGGGUGGUCUCCGCUCCGCCUCCGGGAGGCCGCGUGGGGGGCGUGGGGGCCUCCUCGCGGGGUCUCCACAGGCCCUCCCCCGGGACGCGGCAACCCCGGCCGGAAGACAAUGAGCCGCCCGCGCCGCGCCCGCAGUCACCGCCCCCGCCGAGGGUCCCGCCGCCCCAGCCGGCACGGAAGCAGGAGCAGAAGCCGAAGCCAAGCGCGCGGGGCCAGGGCGGGGGCUCCUCCCGGGGUUGCUCCGCUUGGCUCUCGGCGGUCGCGGGGAUCGGCUGUCCGGAGCGAACGGGGGUCUCUCCUGGACUCGGGGCCCUGGGGAGGGGAGCGCGGCCCUUGGUCCUCCGCCGCUGCGCCCGGGGUGCGGGGGUGUCCUGGCUGCUGACCCCCGCGAGCCCCGAGCACCGCGACCCACCCGCCCCACCGCGCCGCGGCUCCCGAGUCCUGCCGGGCGCCCCUUGCAGCCCCCGCCCCAUGUGCUGGGGAGACCCCCGGGCGGUCUGGGCGGGAUUCCGCAGGGGUCCCUCCUCUCAGGCGGGGCUCAUUCUGGAGCAUGAAAAGAGGGUGAACCAAAGUCCCUCCACCUCUUUAGAGUCCUACAAAACCACGUUUCCCCCUCCACCCACUCCAGUGUCUAUUCUAAGGAAAAGAAAAGGAACAAAUCAGUGCAGCGAGCUUUAUUCUACUCAGCCCACGAAAGGCGCCGCCGUCAGAUUUUAAAGUUCCAGCCAUCCCCUCAGGCCCUGAGUAGCAACCUUGGCAGUGGGAGCCCAGCAGGUCCCGUCUUUGUCCCUGUGCUGAUACAGAGAGACUCUCCGUGCUGUGGACGCCUCCAUCUGGGCACAUGUUUCAGUUGUUUUCUAAAUACCAAGAGCACAGAUUGCUCAGUAAUAAUAGCUCUCCUGCAAAUCUGGAAUCACUUAGGCAGCUGCAGUGCCUCUAAGCCUCCUUGCAUCCAAGGCUGUGAUCAAGGAGGACUGGUGUCUGAGUGGGCUUGAGAAGGGCCCGGAGAACAGCGGGUUUCCUGAUCACAAAUCAGCCUGUCAUUCAGCAUGUGUUCCCUUGGUGACUCAGGGCGAUAUCUGCCCUUCUCCGGAGGUCAAGGGCUCAUCGUGUCAAUUGUGGUCUUGAGUUUGUUUUUUUUUUCCUCUUGAAAUCAUUGUAAUUAAGCUAAAAGUAUAGUGUUGGUAUCCAGCACAUGUUUGCAAAGUAUUUAACAAUGAGCAAAAACUUUAAGAAUAAAUUAAAGCAUCUAGUUUACUUUUUGCCAACAGCCAGGUUCCUGCUAGAAAUGAUUUUGAAAUAAAUGUUGUCUUGGAAAUAGAAACCGU